RNAcentral lists this long non-coding RNA (790 nucleotides) under Glycine max (soybean). RNAcentral describes it as "uncharacterized LOC100305697 (LOC100305697)". The record is from RNAcentral. Lineage: Eukaryota; Viridiplantae; Streptophyta; Magnoliopsida; Fabales; Fabaceae.
UAGUACUUCCUUGUUAUUAUACGUUUGUUUGCUUAGUUAAUGUUUUUCUAGUCUACGCAUGCAGUUUCUUCUAACAUAGAUAUUAAGAGCUGAUAUAUAUAUAUAUAUAUAUAUAUAUAUAUAUAUAUACUGAAAAGUUCAAUCGAUUAAUUUUUGCGUUGUAGAAGAGCUGAAUGUUUACAUGGUCCUAACCAGUCGUUCUCUUCAUUCUUCAAGAACCAUAGAAUAAUAAUUAGCUAACUACGACUAUGAGCAUGCUGAUUAGUCUCUUAGUGGUUCAACAAUGUAUACUCGGUGCCUGGUAUGUGAUCCUUUUAAUUUCCAUUUUCCUCAAGGAAAGUGCUGUACUCUUAAUAUAUUUAGUUUGCCCUUUUUUAAAUCAUAGUAUUUUAAAAUCAAAUGCAAGACUCAUCUUACAUGUUCCUGACAACUUAUUUGCAGAAAACAUGCGUUGUCAAAAGUUUUCGAGGUUGGAACCUACUACAGUAACGGCUGAUGGGAGAAGUUGAGGCAAAAUCUUACACUUUACAGUGUGCAAGAUCUGCUUACCCUUGGACAAUGUCAAAGUGACACUUUUGACAUUCUUCAAACACGGAUUCCCAGCUGUUGAACAAUUGAAAGCAGAUUGCAUCACGAGAGUUAAUUUCAACCAUGUUAUAAUUCCGUACAGAUUAAAUUAUAGUUACCUAUAUUCUUUGGGGGUGGUUACUGGCCGGUUAGUGUAUUUCUUGAUCAGAAUGUUCGGUGAAUCUAGUAUGUUAUAUAAUUAAUUUGUCUUUGCUCUACCGAA